GUUUUGAAUUUUGAUUCCCUCUCUAGCUGAAGUGUUGAAGUGUGUGCCAAUAGAGAAAAAAAUUUGAAUGGGUACCCAUAGAUUUGAGCUAGCUAGCCUUGGUAUUCCUCAUAAGUAUUUGGCUGUCGAGAUGAAUAAUAUAUUGAUGGUAUGACAUGACUGUGUGAAUUUACAAAAAAUUGUUUAGUGACUUCAAAAGUGAGAAAUUCUUUGCCUAAAAUUGUAAAUUGUAUUUUGCAUCUAUUUAAUGAUUUCA
RNAcentral lists this unclassified non-coding RNA (256 nucleotides) under Hevea brasiliensis (rubber tree). The record is from RNAcentral. Lineage: Eukaryota; Viridiplantae; Streptophyta; Magnoliopsida; Malpighiales; Euphorbiaceae.